UACAGAGGUCUCAAGCGUUGUUCGGAUUCAUUGGGCGUAAAGGGUGCGUAGGCGGCGCGGUAAGUCGGGUGUGAAGUCUCGGCGAGCUUAACUCCGAAACUGCAUUCGAUACUGCCGUGCUUGGAGGACUGGAGAGGAGACUGGAAUUUACGGUGUAGCGGUGAAAUGCGUAGAUAUCGUAAGGAAGACCAGUGGCGAAGGCGGGUCUCUGGACAGUUCCUGACGCUGAGGCACGAAGGUCAGGGGAGCAAACGGGAUUAGAAACCCC
RNAcentral lists this ribosomal RNA (268 nucleotides) under uncultured bacterium. RNAcentral's name for it is "partial 16S ribosomal RNA". It matches the Rfam family "Bacterial small subunit ribosomal RNA", at positions 524 to 788 of the family's 1533-position model. The record is from RNAcentral.